This 439-nucleotide ribosomal RNA is filed under the name uncultured bacterium. Its description in RNAcentral is "partial 16S ribosomal RNA". It matches the Rfam family "Bacterial small subunit ribosomal RNA", at positions 339 to 795 of the family's 1533-position model. The record is from RNAcentral.
CUACGGGGCGCAGCAGUGGGGAAUAUUGCACAAUGGAGGAAACUCUGAUGCAGCAACGCCGCGUGGAGGAUGACACUUUUCGGAGCGUAAACUCCUUUUAUAUAGGAAGAUAAUGACGGUACUAUAUGAAUAAGCACCGGCUAACUCCGUGCCAGCAGCCGCGGUAAUACGGAGGGUGCAAGCGUUACUCGGAAUCACUGGGCGUAAAGAGCGUGUAGGCGGAUAGAUAAGUCAGGAGUGAAAUCCUAUGGCUCAACCAUAGAACUGCUCUUGAAACUGUCUAUCUAGAAUAUGGGAGAGGUAGAUGGAAUUUCUGGUGUAGGGGUAAAAUCCGUAGAGAUCAGAAGGAAUACCGAUUGCGAAGGCGAUCUACUGGAACAUUAUUGACGCUGAGACGCGAAAGCGUGGGGAGCAAACAGGAUUAGAUACCCUUGUAGUC